Molecule: non-coding RNA, 30 nt
Filed under: Mus musculus (house mouse)
Lineage: Eukaryota; Metazoa; Chordata; Mammalia; Rodentia; Muridae
Source: RNAcentral
UGAAAAACUAAAAGAGUAUCCGAAAGAUGG